This 73-nucleotide transfer RNA is filed under the name Trachymyrmex septentrionalis. It matches the Rfam family "tRNA". From Rfam's summary of the family: Transfer RNA (tRNA) molecules are approximately 80 nucleotides in length. Their secondary structure includes four short double-helical elements and three loops (D, anti-codon, and T loops). The record is from Rfam by way of RNAcentral. Lineage: Eukaryota; Metazoa; Arthropoda; Insecta; Hymenoptera; Formicidae.
GCCUCGGUCGUUAAAUGGCUUAGGACGCUCGUAUGGAAUACAUGAAAUCCGGGUUCAAGUCCCAGCUGAGGUG